RNAcentral lists this ribosomal RNA (133 nucleotides) under uncultured bacterium. Its description in RNAcentral is "partial 16S ribosomal RNA". The record is from RNAcentral.
GUUAGCCGAUGCUUAUUCCUCAGGUACCGUCAUUUUAUUCUUCCCUGAGAAAAAGAGGUUUACAAUCCAAGAACCUUCCUCCCUCACGCGGUAUUGCUCCGUCAGGCUUUCGCCCAUUGCGGAAAAUUCCCCA